CGGCCGCACUAGUAUUAGUUGAUCCUGCUCAGACGAACGCUGCGGCGUCUUUACACAUCAAGUGACGAUACGACCGAGCUUGCUCGGUCUGAUUAGUGCGAACGGGUGAGUAACACGUGAGUAACCUGCCCCCCACUUCGGGAUAACUUCGAGAAAUCGUGGCUGAUACCGGAUAUGAACUUCCGCCGCAUGGUGGUUGUUGGAAAGUUUUUCGGUGGGGGAUGGACUCGCGGCCUAUCAGUUUGUUGGUGAGGUAAUGGCUCACCAAGGCGAUGACGGGUAGCCGGCCUGAGAGGGCGACCGGCCACACUGGGACUGAGACACGGCCCAGACUCCUACGGGAGGCAGCAGUGGGGAAUAUUGCACAAUGGGGGAGACCCUGAUGCAGCGACGCCGCGUG
Molecule: ribosomal RNA, 400 nt
Filed under: uncultured bacterium
Lineage: Bacteria
Description: bacterial SSU rRNA
Rfam family: Bacterial small subunit ribosomal RNA
Source: RNAcentral